Molecule: ribosomal RNA, 495 nt
Filed under: uncultured bacterium
Lineage: Bacteria
Description: partial 16S ribosomal RNA
Rfam family: Bacterial small subunit ribosomal RNA
Source: RNAcentral
GACGAACGCUGGCGGCGUGCCUAAUACAUGCAAGUCGAACGCUGAAGGAGGAGCUUGCUCUUCUGGAUGAGUUGCGAACGGGUGAGUAACGCGUAGGUAACCUGCCUGGUAGCGGGGGAUAACUAUUGGAAACGAUAGCUAAUACCGCAUAAGAGUAGAUGUUGCAUGACAUUUACUUAAAAGGUGCAAUUGCAUCACUACCAGAUGGACCUGCGUUGUAUUAGCUAGGUGGUGGGGUAACGGCUUACCAAGGCGACGAUACAUAGCCGACCUGAGAGGGUGAGCGGCCACACUGGGACGGAGACACGGCCCAGACGCCUACGGGAGGCAGCAGUAGGGAAUCUUCGGCAAUGGACGGAAGUCUGACCGAGCAACGCCGCGUGAGUGAAGAAGGUUGUCGGAUCGGAAAGCUCGGUUGUAGGAGAAGAACGAGUGUGAGAGUGGAAAGUUCACACUGUGACGGUAUCUGACCAGAAAGGGACGGCUAACUACGUG